This 24-nucleotide non-coding RNA is filed under the name Rattus norvegicus (Norway rat). Lineage: Eukaryota; Metazoa; Chordata; Mammalia; Rodentia; Muridae. The record is from RNAcentral.
UGAAUGGUGACUAGAUUUCUGCAC